AUUUUACUCCAUUCUGAUAGUGCCAAUAAAGCCAGAUUGUUAAUGUCAUUUGGGAGCUGCUUUUCUUGGAGCGAGGUGUUUCAAAACAAGGCCAGUCCUGCCAGAUAAAGGCAGGACAUGGAAAGUAGCUGGGGUUAGUAUGAUGUCCACAUAGCACAAAUCAUAACGAUGUCUCUGCUCUCAAGCAAUUUGUGCAGGUCAAACUUCAAGGAUG
Pelobates cultripes (western spadefoot toad) is the source of this 214-nucleotide non-coding RNA. The record is from the annotation of a GenBank genome assembly. Lineage: Eukaryota; Metazoa; Chordata; Amphibia; Anura; Pelobatidae.